UAAUUCCGAAAAUGAGGCAAAGUAUCGAGCAAUUGUAGCUCCGAUACCAAACUAUCACGAGCCUUGAGUACGUAGCGUAAUUUUUCUUGUCUCUUUUGUUUUCAAAAUAUUAUGCGAGGCUCCUCUGAACUUCGACCAGCCAACUCUAUCUCCCCAUACAACGUCUUGGUUCUGGUAGGCGAGGGCCUUAUCAUGCCAGGUUUGCAUUAUCUGUGUUCACACUUCACUUUUCUCCCUUCUCUCUUUUGUAUUGGAUUGCAAUCCUUUUUCAUACAAGUGUCUACCUUCUUUCUCACAAGUUUUGGGAUUCUCUAAUGCUCACAUACAUACAUAGUUUGUGGAACUAAGCAUUCCUUUUUUCAUUGAUAGAUGCAAACUACAAUUACAUGGAACUCUUCUUUGGCUUGUCAAGUCUAUUAGGCAAAGUCCAAAUCUAAGUUUACCUAUUAUGAGCUACGCCCUAUAUAUAAGCCUACUCGAGUUUGGAAGUUACAACCCAACUUCCCUUAGGUAUAUGUGGCAUUCAUACCUUAUUUUUAGGAGUAGUGGACAUCCCCCACUAUAUAGGUUUAUUAACCACUUUAGAUAACCACCAAGAUAUGCAUAACUUCUUUGCAAACUUCCCAACUUUUAUAGUUUUAGUGUUAGGUAACCGCCCACUAACUUGCAUGUUUUGUGGAGAUAACUUCCCACUAACUUUGUAACCGUCACGCACACGUGUGCACCCUAGAGUGCACCCGCACGCACCUUUCGUUGCAUCUUACCGAACACCUUGCCGAGCACCCUGCAGCGCACCUUCCUCGCACCUUUCUCGCACCUUUGUAGCACCUUGCCGAGCACACUUGUCAUGCACCCAGCAGUGCACCCUCUCAUGCAUCCUUCCGCACCCAACAACGCAUCCUACCGAGCACACUCAUCAUGCACCUACUAUGGGUUACACCUUAUAUAUAAGCCUACUCGAGUUUGGAAGUUACAACCCAACUUCCUUUAGGUAUAUGCGGCAUUCAUGCCUUAUUUUUAGGAGUAGUGGACAUCCCCCAUUAUAUAAGUUUAUUAACCACUUUAGAUAACCACCAAGAUAUGCAUAACUUCCUUACCAACUUUCUCACUUUUAGUGCUAGGUAACCGCCCACUAACUUGCAUGCUUUGUGGAGAUAAUUUCCCUCUAACUUUGAAACCGCCAUGCACACGUGUGAACCCUAGAGUGCACCCGCGUGCACCCUUCGUUGCAUCCUACCGAGCACCCUGUAACACACCUGCCUCGCACCCUUUUAGCACCCUGCAGAGCACACUUGUCAUGCACCCAGCAGUGCACCCUCUCAUGCAUUCUUCUGCACCCAACAACGCAUCCUAUCGAGCACACUCAUCAUGCACCUACUAUGGGUUACGCCUUAUAUAUAAGCCUACUCGAGUUUGGAAGUUAGAACCCAACUUCCUUUAGGUAUAUGCGGCAUUCAUGCCUUAUUUUUAGGAGUAGUGGACAUCCCCCAUUAUAUAAGUUUAUUAACCAUUUUAGAUAACCACCAAGAUAUGCAUAACUUCCUUACCAACUUCCCCACUUUAGUGCUAGGUAACCGCCCACUAACUUGCAUGCUUUGUGGAGAUAACUUCCCUCUAACUUUGUAACCGCCGUGCACACGUGUGAACCCUAGAGUGCACCCGCGCGCACCCUUCGUUGCAUCCUACCGAGCACCCUGCAACGCACCUUCCUCGCACCCUUGUAGCACCCUACCGAGCACACUUGUCAUGCACCCAGCAGUGCACUCUCUCAUGCAUCCUUCCGCUCCUAACAACACACCCUGCCGAGCACCCUCAUCAUGCACCCAACAUUGCACCAUGCCGAGCCCUUUGGAGUCCAUACCAACUUCCCACGUUUGGCUUGGAUUGUUGUCGUACAUCAACUUUCCCAUCCUACUUGUGCUUGUGUUUGCUUGUGCCUUCAUGCGUGUCGACAUAGUGCAAAGACAACUCAUGUCGCUCACCUUGCCGGCUAUGGGACUUUAGAGAUGUAACAAACCGCCCCCGUUUGAGUUUGGCGAUGCCCUUGUUGCCAAUGGUCUUGCGCUUCAUCCCUUGCUUGCUGCCCGCUUCUUUCUCCCACUUGGCUGCAUCAUCCUUGAUGCCCUUGUUGGCAUCAUAUACUUUCAAUGCCUUGGUAAACUCCUCCCAAGUUACCUUUUCUCCCUCCUUUAGCCUCGGCUGAUUGCCUUGAGUUUUUUCACCAAGGAUGUCGAAUAAUGACUCUUCGUUCAACUUUUCUAGUUCUCCCCAUGCAGGCCAAUUUGCUGCAGCAUCCUCCUUCUUUUGCUCAGUCCAAGUAGUAGUUUCCAAGCUCUUCUCGCUCUCGAGACUCUCUUCUUCUUCGUCAUCACUUAUGACGAUGACAUCCGGUAGAUUCAUGGCUCCCUUCUUCAUGUCUUCAUGCUUCUGACUGUUCAAGACCCAUUCAUACGCAUAUGCGUCCAUGACUCGCUUGGUCUCCUCAUAGAUUGCACUCCACCUUCGGAAAGGAGGAAACACGCUAAAGGUGAGCAUGUCUCUCCAUACUUUGGUGUAGAGCUCGAAUUUCUUUCCCUUCAAGUGCUCCUCCCACAUCUUCAUGGUCUGGCAGCAGAAAUAACUUCCGCCUCCUUAAUAGUGUAGGUUGAGAGCAGUGGAUCCUCGAAUGGCAUAAUCUCGUCGAUAAAAAGGAUGUCUCCUUCAACAAUGAGUGAGGACAUGAUGGUGUAGUUCCCAUAAUGGUAGGCAAAUAUAUCAACAUAGACAUCUAAAUCAGCAUACUUCAUAUCACCCUCCAAUGAUAAAGUAUUGUGUAGCACCAUCGAACUCAUGAUUGCCUCUGUUUCUUCUUGUGUUUCUUUUUCUUUGAGGUUGUUUGCAAUUGAAACUAGAGCACUCAAUGCUUGCUUUUGGCUACAGAAUUUCACCAAGUGUGGUCCAUUGCAUAUAAAGCACGAAAGUAACCCUUUGUUGUGUGGCAGAUCAUGGGUAGUGCCCAUGUUUUUGCUCAUUAUUGUGGAAAUAGUGGGUGGGUUGGCAGUUUUGUAACCGCCUCUCCCACUCUCCAGCCCCUUGACACGCCCUUGGAAUGAGUCAACUCCGAUUAUUCUGCUUAUCUCUCUCCUCUUGUCUAAAUAUGCAGGGCUUGUCCGAAAAUUGACUUGGAUACAAUUCACGCAAGCGAACGUAUCAUUGUCAAGAUAGGGAAGUAUAAGUGCCUAAGUUAUCGUACCACGGGGAUUAGUGGCUAACCCACAAUCCUAGGCUAAUCGAAACAAAAGUCACUAAUAAGCAAACAAAGAAAAAGAAAAAGAAAAAGAAAAUAAGGAAAUUGCUAAUCUAGGCACCAAGCCUUAGUAAUGCUCAGCUCUAGUUCUCACCAAAGCCUAAUCAAAACUAGAUGCCUAGUGACGGUUAUCUACAAUGAGUCAAAAUAUAAAAGGGAGAUGGAAUGAGGAGUUGACUAAAUUGACUACAAACAAAAUGAGAAAUAAACUACUAACUAAUGAACUAGAGAAUGAUGAGAACAUGGGAGUGUCGGGUGAUCCACACUAACUCAUAUGCAAACAUCGAUACCAAUUUCACAAAUGCAUAUCAUAUUGUGUCAAGUCCCGUAUCUAAUACCGGUUAAAGCUACUAGAUCAAUUAUCUUUUCGGUGUAUCGAUUAUGCCGGUUAAGGCCACAAUCGACCCUCUAACAUGGGCAUUACACCGGUUAAGGCUGUAACAUCCAAAUUAGAGGCCUAGAGUGCAAGAUAAUAGAGACACAAACAAGCUUAGCUACAAUCAAGCUAACUAAUGGUUACCACAAUUCAAAUCCUAAAUGCAUAAGACUAAUAAGUUGUCAAUUUAUCAAUCUAAUCAUCAAAUUGUCCACAACAUAAUCUCAAAGGGUGACAAAGCCUAGAAACAUGCCUCUAAGGACCAACACAUUCGGAUUCAAAGUAUACACAAUGAAAAUUGCAUUCAUUUCAAUUAAAGUACCAAUAUUUAUACAAAAUGAGUUUAGGGCUUCACAACCCUAACUCCCAAAAUUGAA
RNAcentral lists this long non-coding RNA (4039 nucleotides) under Fragaria vesca (wild strawberry). RNAcentral describes it as "long non-coding RNA (FVES_LNC003736)". Lineage: Eukaryota; Viridiplantae; Streptophyta; Magnoliopsida; Rosales; Rosaceae. The record is from RNAcentral.